CAAUGAUGCUGAUGAAAACACCCAUGAAGCCAGCAGCAGCGAAGAAAUUGUGAAGGGUACAGAAACCUGGCAUCGAGAGGACUGAUCACUGCAAUGUCUGCUAAUCGGCCAACAAGUAUUUGUGUUGUGGACCAACUUUAGUUCCGAGUUCUCUACCUGCCUCAAGAACAAUCAAUAUGGCAGCUGAGCUUUACGUGUGUUUUUGUUGAAAAUGUGGAACACUCUGCAUUGCCAUGCCCUAUGCCUGUGAGUUUGAAGUGAAAGACAGUAUAGUCAAGGAAAGUGUUUUGAUUUCAAUCUCCAGUCUUCUCAUUGUUGUUUAGCUAUUCAAUGACUAAAUUUUAUCUUAAAAUGAUGGCAAAUGUCCUGCCAUUGUGUGCGACACUAUUGUUUUGAAUUUUAUCUAUAUUUUAUUUUAUAUGAAAAAGGGUUGCACUUUGUGCAUGGUUUUGCCAAUUCAAUACUCAGGUGCAGCUUUCUAAUCAUGUAUGUGAAUGUUUUUCUCAAUUAUGUACAAAUUUUACUAGUCAUAAUAUUAUUUUGGAGACGAGUCUCUGCUCUGACAGGUUUCUGGCCAUUCUUACUGAAAAGCUUUCAAAAUAAUGUUGCUGAAAUCGAGGUCAGGGUUUACCAUUCUUCUGGCAGACUGGUAGACUCUGGGUUCAGGAACUUCAGUUUCACUUGCGGCAACAACUGUUAUUAUUUUACCCUUACCCUUCUUUUGGUCAGCGCUUAGGUAAAGUCUCCGUGACGAUACAUUCUGUGUGUGCCUGUCCAAUUCUCUCAUCGAUCUUAACUGGGUUAAAAGACUCAAUGCUUGUCACGGUUUAGGAUGGCUAUAUAAAUUAAAACGCAUCUAUUAGAUCUGAUGGAGACCUGAUGACUGAGUGUUUAGAUUUGAUUUCCAUCCGAAUGCGAUGAAACUGUCCAUGUUUAUUUUCUCUCUGUAUCUGCUUUAAAACCAGUGGAAGCUCAUAUUACCCUCUGAACAACAUGUCUGAGGCUCUUGAGAUCUCAUCAACAAUUACUUAUUGUAUUUUAAAUCUCAAGGUCUGUCAGAAUAGUUCGUGGGUGGGGGGCGGCUGGGGUUGGAAUAGCCAACUCCAGUCGCGGCAAGCCUCCCCGUGGCCCCCCUGGCCCGGGAGGAAAAUAGGUCGGACUGAUCCAUUUCAGCCUGCGUCGUUGGAUCUGCUUCCUUUGGUGGGAGGAGUUUAUUGUGUUCUUGCAGUUUUCUCCAAGAACUGGGCGUUUGGUUAUGAUGAUAGGGGAAACCACUCAUGUAGAAGAGCAUCAUGCCACCGUCAUCAUGGCAGUUGAUGUGGUGGUGAAGCUCUCUACGUACAUGUUUGUGUGCUGCUCUCUGAUCGAAUUCAGGACCGUGCAGUUGUCAGGAGAAAUUAGAAGUUCAACAACCAAAACAGGGCAGCAAACGUUAAUGAGCAGAUAAAAUGUUCACCAUCCUGGCCCAUUUGAUGAAGUGAGAAUUCCAACUUAAAAAACAUCUACAUUGUAUGAGCGUGAUGUUCACCACCUCAGGGCGUAGCAUGUGUAAUAUUUGAAAACUGAUCUACACAUUAAUGUGUGUCAAUCAAAGAGCUUUGCUUAUUCCUAUAAAGAAUGGAUAUUUUUAAAUUUUUGAAUGUUCUCUGACAUUGUAUUACCUGAGUGUGACUUGAAAGUUACUUUGUGCCUUUUACUUCUAAACAGAUAAUCUUUAAAAGCCAAAAUACCCUAGUGUUGUAUUGCACAGUCAUAAUUAGUUUGAUAAGCUGUUCCAGUAUUUUCUUCUAGUCUGUAUGUCAAACCUACAGAUCAGUGUCUUGUUGGUUUGCUUUGAUAAUCUAACGAUUUACUUGACAUCCAUUUGUGUAUUAUAUCUAUGGUAUAGCUAACUUUAGUAAUGAUUUUAAUGGUGAUUACUCUGCUUAUCCAAGUGUAUAAUAACAAGAUGACAGUUGUAACUCUAGGACAAAAGUUAGACAGUUAUAAUUGUAUAAGGGUUUAGUAGUUCAAACUUUUAGAACUCUUUGUUAUACAGAGGAGCAGUGCACACCAUCCUUGUAUGCAAAAUUUUACAGUAACUGUCAACUUGUCAUACACUUAGACAAAGCUCCGAAAGUUGAUUAGUUCUCCUGCAUAAAAUAUUUAUUUUACGAUAAAUGUCUUUGUCCGUUUCUCAAGUUUAAUCUAGUUUGAGGUAGCUUACAAUGUACCUUUUAUUGAGUGCUGCCAAUAGUUGAAGUCAUCUUUGAAAGUGAAAUGUAAAAUUAAUAGUGUU
This is a long non-coding RNA of Frankliniella occidentalis (western flower thrips), 2278 nucleotides long. RefSeq lists it as uncharacterized. The transcript has 3 exons. The record is from RefSeq and is a predicted model, not a curated record. Lineage: Eukaryota; Metazoa; Arthropoda; Insecta; Thysanoptera; Thripidae.